This 87-nucleotide transfer RNA is filed under the name Deltaproteobacteria bacterium. RNAcentral describes it as "tRNA-Leu". It matches the Rfam family "tRNA". Rfam says of the family: Transfer RNA (tRNA) molecules are approximately 80 nucleotides in length. Their secondary structure includes four short double-helical elements and three loops (D, anti-codon, and T loops). Lineage: Bacteria; Pseudomonadati; Myxococcota; Myxococcia. The record is from RNAcentral.
GGCCGAGUGGCGGAAUAGGCAGACGCGCCGGAUUCAAAAUCCGGUGAUGGCAACAUCGUGCCGGUUCGAUCCCGGCCUCGGCUACUA